GGGCGGAGCCAUCGUGAAGCCGGAGGCUGAGCUGAGCAAAGGAACUAGGGGUGCGGCGCGGUGCCUGCCAACGCCCAGGUGCGGUGGGUAUGGGGAAUGGCGCUGACCCUGGAGACCUCGAUCCCCUGCGCCGCUCUUGCAGCUCAGGCUGCAGAAUUGUGUAACCCGUGACCUCCGGUUCCCCCUCCGCCGCGACUGCACGGCCACCCCGGCCCUGCUACCCGUGCUGCGUAGUUCGCUGACUUGUGCGCCCGCCCACGGAUCUGCUUCUGAGUCCCGCCGCCAGCGCCAGCGAAGCCUCCUUCCUCCAGCGCAGAUCAACAAAAGAGAUUCUUGGGUCCUAGAGACCAAAGAAAGAAUCAGCAGGAAUGCCCAUGGUGAAUGAUGGAUUGCAGAGCCUGGCUGGCACAUUUUGUGCCCUCCCCACCUCCAAAUUGCCUCAGUUACAAAUCAGAAGGCAGGCUUGGUGACCAGGACUGGCAAGCACAUUUUAAAGUCCCAUGCUGUGGAGUUGAUCCAUCUCAACUUGAGUCAGAAGAGGCAGAAGUGGAUGUGAGAGAAAGAGACACACAGAGAGACAGAGAGCCAAAGAGGGCAAGAGACUUGACUUUAAGAGACUCCUGUACUGACAACUCCAUGCAGUUUGGAACCAGAACGAGUGCGGCUGAACCAGGGUUCAUGGGGACAUGGCAAAACGCUGAUACUAACCUCUUAUUCAGAAUGUCCCAACAGGUACGCCUUGUUGGAAUUGACAUUUUCACUGGCAGAAAACAUGAAGAUAUCUGUCCCUCUACUCACAACAUGGAUGUUCCAAAUAUUAAGAGAAAUGAUUAUUAAGGUGCAGUUCCCUCCUUUUUGAGGUUUCCAUUCAUUAUCCUUUGAAGGACUGGAUUUGUGGAAAGAUCCAUUAAUGCAUCCAAGAAGAGUAUCAAGAAAGCUUUCUCACUGAAGAUAUUCACUGAGGACAUCGCAACCUGUGACUGUAUAUGUGAAUACAAAACCAAAACUGAUAUUUCAAGUUCAUGACUAGGAGUGACAGGCAAUUUGUAGAAUAAUGGAAGAUGGAGACAUAGGAGGGUAGAGGAGAGAGAUAGGAUGAAUUUUUGCAUAUGGAAAAUCUAAGUGGAUAUGGCAUGCACCCAUGUUUAUAUGUGAUAUGAAGAAAGCAACAUGAAACAAGAUUGAUCCACAUGCUAAAGCAGAAUAAAGAAAAAAAUAUUUUUUCUUUUUCUAAGAUGACUGAAAGUUACAUCAGGUAGUUGCUUCAUCAUACAUUUCCAUUCCAGGUACUGGCAGAGCCUCUCAGGAGACAGCUAAAUCAGGCUUCUGUCAACAAGCACUUGUUGGCAUCCACAAUAGUGUCUGUAUAUGGGAUAUUGGUGACUAUAUAUGGAAUGGAACCCCAGGUGGGUCAGUCUCUGGAUGGUCUUUCCUUCAGUCUCUGCUCCACACUUUGUCUAUCUUCUCUCAUGGGUAUUUUGUUCCACCUUCUAAGAAGGACCUACGUAUCCAUACUUUGGUUUUUCAUCUUCUUGAGCUUAAUUUGUCUGUAAAUUGUAUCAUGGGUAUUCCAAACUUCUGGGCUAACAUCCACUUAUCACUGAGUGCAUACCAUGUGUGUUCUUUUGUGAUUGGGUUACCUCACUCAGGAUGAAAUUUUCUAUUUCUAUCCAUUUGCCAAGAAUUUCAUGAAUUCAAUGUUUUAAAUAGCUGAGUAGUAUUCCAUUGUGUAAAUAUUCCACAUUUUAUGUAUCCAUUCCUCUGUUGAGAGACAUCUGGGUUCUUUCCAGUUUCCAGCUAUUAUAAAUCAGGCUGAACCUAGUGGAGCGUUUUCUGGUAUAUGCCAGGAGUGGUAUAGCUGGGUUCUCAGGUCGUACUAUGAUUUUCUGAGGAACCACCAAGCUGAUUUCUAGACUGGUUGUACCAGCUUGCAAUCCCACCUCCACAUCCUUGACAGCACUCUUGUCACCUGAGUUUUUGAUCUUAGCUUUUCUGACUGAUGUGUAGCUGAAUCUCAAGGUUGUUUUGAUUUGCAUUUCCCUGAUGAGUAAUGAUGUUGAACAUUUCUUUAGGUGCUUCUCAGCCGUUCAUUAUUCCUCAGUUGAGAAUUCUUUGUUUAGCUCUCUGAGUUCAAUUCCCAUCAAAUACAUGAUAGAUCGCAUCCAUCUGUAAUAGGAUCUGAUGCCCUGUUCUGGUGUGUCUGAAGACAGGUACAGUUUACUCAUGUAAAUGAAAUGAAUGAAUUUUUUAAAAAGUGUCUAUUGUUCUAAUACUUAUAUUAUUGUUCCAUUUUCACUAUUGGAUUUAGUGUAGAUCAUAAAUUUAACUCUUACGUAGCAUGCAGAGCAUUGAAGACCAUUCCUCCUGUAAAACAGAAUAGAAUGAAGCUCAGGGAUUCACCUCUCUGACUUUUUAAAAUGCUAAUGGCUACAAAAUGUAUGUAGAGUCGAUAUUCUAACAUGUCACUGUUGAAAUUGCACUAAAAACACAAGGUGUGUAUAAUGAUCACCAUGCAAUUUGAUUUUAAUACUUUCUAGGUUAUACAAAACAGUGAUUAAAGAGAAAGUGUAGUAUAAAAGUAAUUUCUAACCAGUGACAUUAAAUAGAAUACUCAGUAACUUAGCUAAACCAGAUGUGUCCUCAGGACAGAGAAGACCAGAAGAGCAGAUAGUCCUGCCGGGAAAUGCACUCUUGCCUCCGCUGUUUGAUUUCAGCUAUGGCAAAUGCUCAGUAUUAUAGAAGAGCAAUCUUUCUGAUGUCUUUCAACACCUUUGUGACUUAGAUCCAAUUCCUUUACAGUAAACAUUUUUACUGAUUUUCACCCACGACUCUAGUGCUUUCAUAUGUUACCCUGCCAUAAUUAUUAACAAACUUGUGUGUAGUUUAGAAGAUUGGUAAUAUAUACUUUUUAUAUUUUCUUCAUGUGAUGUUGUGUUUAUUUCCCUUUUGUCCUUGAAGAAAUGUUUUCAGAAAAUAAAAAUGUUGUUCUAAUUUAAAUAAAUAUUGUUCGAGGCUUGUCAAUGCCAGCCCCUGCACUGCACCUGUGCUCACCAUUGGUCUGGUUUUCAUGAGCAGAUAGUGCUCUGUGCUCCAUGACAUUUGACAGGUAUUUCCCUUUUUUUCCUGUCAGGACAUCCUGUAGUAAUAAGAGAAAAAGGCCCCACAACACGGGGCUUAUUCAUCAUUUCUUCCAAUGAGACAUCGUGCAAAAAGCUGAAGGAAACAUUGGGUUCUAGGGAAGAAGUGGAUAUAAAAUAUCACUCAGUCCAUGAAGUGGCCUGGAUCCUAAAGAUUAGACAUGGUUGCAGUGUGGUAAGAAACAUCAUUUUUUCAUCCACAUGGAGCAAAUAUUUCAUGUUCCUGGAUUCUCCAUCUAACAUCAGCAACAUAAAGAAUUAGAACAUGGACUCAGCAGCUGCCACAGUGGGAGGACAUGGACCCCUGGCCAUUGUGCACUGGCGGAAAGUCCAGUGGCUCCUCUUCUCUAGGAGAGUAUUAUAGGAUAAAUUAUCCAUAAUUGCGGGAAGGGGCCAAAGUUCAUAUCAAAUAUUCCGAUUCGUACCAGAAAAAUCACACUGGUCCCUGAGGGAUAAGAUUUACACUGAACUACAUAUUAACUGUAGUGAAGAAUCUGUGCUCAUAGUAGCUUCCAUUUUAAAGUAUUCUACUGAAGAUGCCAUGUACAAAUUACAUCCUGCUAAAACAGCUCAUCUCUGUGCUAUUAAAAUGAAAACCUCUAUGAGGAAUCACUUAGACACCUACACCUUAUCUGUCCGCGUAGCCCCUCAUGUGCUGUGGGAUCCAACUUGCUGAACUCAUGAUUUGGGAGUGACCUCCCAAAAUAGCAGGGAAAAAUGAAACAACUUCAACAUAUAUCUUUUCACAAUGGAAAUUUCCUCAUGACUGAAGAAGUUGCUGGUCAUUUUAUUUCAAUGUUCCCUUCUACCUCCCUCUUAACCACAGCAGAAGAGAUUAUUACGAGAAACAACUUCAGUUUUAUAUUUAACCAUAUUGUUACAUAGUUUCACUCACUAUAUUUAUUUUAUGUUGUAUAUUACACAUUCUUAUCUAUUAAUAUUAAUAAAUGGUAUUAAAUUA
Apodemus sylvaticus (European woodmouse) is the source of this 4098-nucleotide RNA transcript. It is a transcript of the gene named zinc finger protein basonuclin-2-like, with no coding region annotated. The transcript has 12 exons. NCBI's taxonomy places the organism in Eukaryota, Metazoa, Chordata, Mammalia, Rodentia, Muridae. The record is from RefSeq and is a predicted model, not a curated record.